RNAcentral lists this ribosomal RNA (1500 nucleotides) under uncultured bacterium. RNAcentral describes it as "bacterial SSU rRNA". It matches the Rfam family "Bacterial small subunit ribosomal RNA". The record is from RNAcentral.
AGUUUGAUCAUGGCUCAGAUUGAACGCUGGCGGCAGGCCUAACACAUGCAAGUCGAACGGUAGCACAGAGAGCUUGCUCUCGGGUGACGAGUGGCGGACGGGUGAGUAAUGUCUGGGAAACUGCCUGAUGGAGGGGGAUAACUACUGGAAACGGUAGCUAAUACCGCAUAACGUCGCAAGACCAAAGAGGGGGACCUUCGGGCCUCUUGCCAUCAGAUGUGCCCAGAUGGGAUUAGCUAGUAGGUGGGGUAACGGCUCACCUAGGCGACGAUCCCUAGCUGGUCUGAGAGGAUGACCAGCCACACUGGAACUGAGACACGGUCCAGACUCCUACGGGAGGCAGCAGUGGGGAAUAUUGCACAAUGGGCGCAAGCCUGAUGCAGCCAUGCCGCGUGUAUGAAGAAGGCCUUCGGGUUGUAAAGUACUUUCAGCGGGGAGGAAGGUGUUGUGGUUAAUAACCACAGCAAUUGACGUUACCCGCAGAAGAAGCACCGGCUAACUCCGUGCCAGCAGCCGCGGUAAUACGGAGGGUGCAAGCGUUAAUCGGAAUUACUGGGCGUAAAGCGCACGCAGGCGGUCUGUCAAGUCGGAUGUGAAAUCCCCGGGCUCAACCUGGGAACUGCAUUCGAAACUGGCAGGCUAGAGUCUUGUAGAGGGGGGUAGAAUUCCAGGUGUAGCGUGAAAUGCGUAGAGAUCUGGAGGAAUACCGGUGGCGAAGGCGGCCCCCUGGACAAAGACUGACGCUCAGGUGCGAAAGCGUGGGGAGCAAACAGGAUUAGAUACCCUGGUAGUCACGCCGUAAACGUUGUCGAUUUGGAGGUUGUGCCCUUGAGGCGUGGCUUCCGGAGCUAACGCGUUAAAUCGACCGCCUGGGGAGUACGGCCGCAAGGUUAAAACUCAAAUGAAUUGACGGGGGCCCGCACAAGCGGUGGAGCAUGUGGUUUAAUUCGAUGCAACGCGAAGAACCUUACCUGGUCUUGACAUCCACAGAACUUUCCAGAGAUGGAUUGGUGCCUUCGGGAACUGUGAGACAGGUGCUGCAUGGCUGUCGUCAGCUCGUGUUGUGAAAUGUUGGGUUAAGUCCCGCAACGAGCGCAACCCUUAUCCUUUGUUGCCAGCGGUCCGGCCGGGAACUCAAAGGAGACUGCCAGUGAUAAACUGGAGGAAGGUGGGGAUGACGUCAAGUCAUCAUGGCCCUUACGACCAGGGCUACACACGUGCUACAAUGGCGCAUACAAAGAGAAGCGACCUCGCGAGAGCAAGCGGACCUCAUAAAGUGCGUCGUAGUCCGGAUUGGAGUCUGCAACUCGACUCCAUGAAGUCGGAAUCGCUAGUAAUCGUAGAUCAGAAUGCUACGGUGAAUACGUUCCCGGGCCUUGUACACACCGCCCGUCACACCAUGGGAGUGGGUUGCAAAAGAAGUAGGUAGCUUAACCUUCGGGAGGGCGCUUACCACUUUGUGAUUCAUGACUGGGGUGAAGUCGUAACAAGGUAACCGUA